CUGACAUAUUAAUUUCAUAAAUGCCCGACGAAGCGUGGUGACUUACUGUAUACUAAUGCAACAAUAGUACUUACAAGCCAUGCGUCGGGCGCGGGGGGCGACGAACAAAAAGUGGGCAUGAAAGGCGAGGAA
Caenorhabditis elegans is the source of this 132-nucleotide non-coding RNA. NCBI's taxonomy places the organism in Eukaryota, Metazoa, Nematoda, Chromadorea, Rhabditida, Rhabditidae. The record is from Ensembl.